Long non-coding RNA from Triticum aestivum (bread wheat), 1284 nucleotides. RefSeq lists it as uncharacterized. The record is from RefSeq and is a predicted model, not a curated record. NCBI's taxonomy places the organism in Eukaryota, Viridiplantae, Streptophyta, Magnoliopsida, Poales, Poaceae. The transcript has 3 exons.
CACCUCCACAACCCCCACUCACCCGCACAUCCCCUCCCCUCGAUCUCCCACGAUCCCCUCUCUUCCUCGGUCACUCCUCCCCCCUCUCCCGAUCCCAUCUGGAUCGGGCCAACCGCCCCGCACUCGCCUGCCACCGCAUCGGCGCCACCUCGCCACGACUUCGCCCCGCCGUACCCAGCCGCGGUCGUCGCUGCUCCCGGUGAGCCGCCCCGCGGCGCCACCACCAACGGGCCCCCCUUGCUGGCCCGCAUCAUUCUAGAUCGAGGCAACCGCCUCUACCUCGCCGCCGGACACCGCUCACCGGAGCCGCUCCGCGUCGCCUCGCCUCCUCACCUCUCCCCCGUCGGCUUCGUCGAGCCUCGCCGACCCAUUCAACUACAAUGGGGCUCUUCUUCCUCAAACUGAAUCUCUAUAUCGCCUGCAUACACACCAUAGUCUUCCUCGUCAACUUGAAGGUUAUUUAGAGCUUCAUCCAUUGCUUGCACUUCCUCUUCCAUGCUCUGGAAAACACCGCCUUGUUCUUCAAGUUCAUGGUCUACAAGGUUCUCUUCUCCAUGGGCAACAUUGGCCUCAUGUUCCUCUUCUCCAUGGGCAAUGUCGGGCUCAUGUUCAUCUUCUACAUGAAGACCGACAUGGGGUUCUUCAUGCAAGGCAGCCUCAAGUUCGUCCUCUAUGGCGAAGAAGAAUAAUCAGCAGGUGCACAUGAACAAAGAGAACAAAGGAGUAGACGAUCAAGAUGUACCUGGGCUCAUGUUCAGAUCGAUUUGACGACCAACCUGGAGCAGUUCUUCAUGCAAGGCAACCUCAAGUUCGUCCUCUAUGGCAAAGAAGAAUCAUCAGCAUGUGCACAUGAACAAGGAGAACAAAUGAAAAGAUGAUCAAGAUGUACCUGGGUUCAGGUUCAAAUCGAUUUGAUGACCAACCUGGAGCAAUUCUUCAUGCAAGGGAGGCACAUGUUCAACUUCUCCCUCUCCUGGUGCUAUGUUCAAGUCAAUGGCCAUGGCCUCUCUAUGUGUUGUUCUACUUGGCGCUAGUUUGCUGCUUGUUCUACUUGGUGCUACUGUGCUAGCUUUAUAGCUGGUUGUUCUACUUGAAAUCUGGCUCAUAGCUCAAUUCUGUAAUUUGCCGCUUCUAAUUCUGUAAUCUGGCGCCAUAUUGUACUAGUACUCAGCUACUAGUUGUGGAUGGUGGGAAGUGUUGUGGCGGGAACAAUUCUCUGUUGGCAAAGCUGUAUUUACUUCUCCCUUCUCAUUUAUUAUCAACGGGAAUCGAAGCAUUGGUACA